GCAGCAGUGGGGAAUUUUGGACGAUGGGCGCAAGCCUGAUCCAGCCAUUCCGCGUGAGUGAAGAAGGCGUUCGGGUUGUAAAGCUCUUUCGGCAGGAACGAAAAGGCGGGCUUUAACAUAGCCUGUUACUGACGGUACCUGCAGAAGAAGCACCGGCUAACUACGUGCCAGCAGCCGCGGUAAUACGUAGGGUGCGAGCGUUGUUCGGAAUUACUGGGCGUAAAGCGUGCGCAGGCGGAUUGUUAAGCAAGACGUGAAAUCCCCGGGCUUAACCUGGGAAUGGCGUUUUGAACUGGCAGUCUAGAGUGCGUCAGAGGGGGGUGGAAUUCCACGUGUAGCAGUGAAAUGCGUAGAGAUGUGGAGGAACACCGAUGGCGAAGGCAGCCCCCUGGGAUGACACUGACGCUCAUGUACGAAAGCGUGGGUAGCAAACAGGAUUAGAUACCCUGGUAGUCCACGCCCUAAACGAUGUCAACUG
RNAcentral lists this ribosomal RNA (478 nucleotides) under uncultured bacterium. RNAcentral describes it as "bacterial SSU rRNA". It matches the Rfam family "Bacterial small subunit ribosomal RNA", at positions 348 to 818 of the family's 1533-position model. The record is from RNAcentral.